UUGAACGCUGGCGGAAUGCUUUACACAUGCAAGUCGAACGGCAGCACGGGGGCAACCCUGGUGGCGAGUGGCGAACGGGUGAGUAAUACCUAGGAACAUGUCCAGUAGUGGGGGAUAACGCAGCGAAAGCUGUGCUAAUACCGCAUACGCCCUGAGGGGGAAAGUGGGGGAUCGCAAGACCUCACGUUAUUCGAGCGGCCGACGUCUGAUUAGCUAGUUGGUGGGGUAAAGGCUCACCAAGGCGACGAUCAGUAGCGGGUCUGAGAGGAUGAUCCGUCACACUGGAACUGAGACACGGUCCAGACUCCUACGGGAGGCAGCAGUGGGGAAUUUUGGACAAUGGGGGCAACCCUGAUCCAGCCAUUCCGCGUGAGUGAAGAAGGCCUUCGGGUUGUAAAGCUCUUUCAGCCGGAACGAAACGGUACGCUCUAACAUAGCGUGCUAAUGACGGUACCGGCAGAAGAAGCACCGGCUAACUACGU
Molecule: ribosomal RNA, 482 nt
Filed under: uncultured bacterium
Lineage: Bacteria
Description: bacterial SSU rRNA
Rfam family: Bacterial small subunit ribosomal RNA
Source: RNAcentral